GAGAACUAGGAGGCCAGUGUGGUUGGAGUACAGUAAGCAAGAGCAAAAGUAAAAGGACUUGAGAUUAUAGAAAUAGCUGGGCUGCUCUGGGCCGGGCGUGGUGGC
Molecule: long non-coding RNA, 105 nt
Organism: Sapajus apella (tufted capuchin)
Lineage: Eukaryota; Metazoa; Chordata; Mammalia; Primates; Cebidae
Exons: 3
Source: RefSeq, a predicted model, not a curated record